CUGUUCUCCGCCCUUUCUUGUUUCCUUCUUCCCUUGUCACUGCAUGUUCAGCUUUGGCAGCGUCGGCGGCGCCGCCGGCAGUGGUGCACCUCCCCUGAUCGACGCACCUGGCAGAGGUGGCGGUGUGCUGAGUACCCCCUCCAACGCUGCUUUCCACGCAGCUGGCGGGCCGGCGCUGAUGAGCGGGGUCGUCGGCAGUAGCGGCAACACUGGUGUACUUCACGACCACUUCGAUGUUCAGCCAGGAAGCUAUUCGCCGUUCGGAGGGGGCAGUCAGGCGGUACCACCGCCGGUGCUUGGCGGUGCAGUCGCUUUCAAGGUCGGUGAGGGCAAGAGCAACACCGCCAGCCACGAGGGCAAGGCCAACGUGAGCGGUCCGCAACGCGGCGUGCUGCCCAUGAGCGGGUCAGCUCUGCCGCUCUCCGCAAUGCCCGUCUUCGGCACCGGCGCGCCACUGCUUUCCCAUUCGUCAGGCGCCGCUCCCAUGGCCGCUGCGCCUGCUGCCGCGAUGCUGUCGCUGCCGGGGUCGUUUGCCACGACGCCGUUGUCUGCGGUUCCGGUCUUUGCGGCGCCACCGCAAUCGUCGAUGCCCACGUCGAGUGGCGGAGGCAUCUUGGGUGGCGGCGGCGGCAGUGCGCAAAGCCGUGCAAAUCUGUCGUUCACCGCUCCACGAGGGGGCCAAGGACACAGCAGCGGCAAUAGCAAGGAGAGCGGUGCCAAGGGCGGCGCUGAUAGUCGCCCAUCUCUGCCCGUGCCUCACUCUUCACACCAGCGCAGCCAAGAGUCGCUGCCAUGGCUGGGCUCCACCUCCGCCCUCUCCUCCACACCCGCGCCAACAACACCGUUCUUGGAUCGUGGCAGUGCCGGCGCUGGAAGCAGCCCUCGACCCUUGCCGGUCUUCCCUGACGUUGCAAGUGCGGCGCGCAACAGUGACAACAACAAGAGUCACACAAGUGGGAACGUGUUGGCCACGGCCGCCCCAGUCCUGCCGCCUGCAGCUCCACAGAGCACACCAGGUUCCAGCGACGCUAAAGGGUUCAUCCUUGGCUCGGCUUUCGCAGCUGUCGACAUCAGCGGCAAAGGCGGCAACGCUGCCGGUGGCCCCCCGCCACUUCCGCCGACCUCUUCCGUUUUCGGCACGUCCGUGCCGAGUGUCAGCGCGUCCGCAGCGCCGCUGGAUAGGGGCGCUGCGACUCCACCUUUCCGCGAGGCAACGCCGGCGAAUGCCGCCGUCAAGGGCAGCCUGCUCAGAGGCAGCGCUGCGGCGGCGGCGGCAGGGCCUGCUUCGCUCGCUCCUGCAGCGGUGCCGCCAUCGAGUGCAUUUGGCGGGUCUGUGUUCGGUAAGACUUCGGCUGCAGCGGUGACGGCCCCGUCCACUAUCACACCAGCUGCGUCUCCUCCUCCGGCGGCGGCGAAAAGUACUGCGACCGGCGCGAACAGGAGCGGAAGCGUCUUCGGUGAGCUUCACAGCAGCUUCGGCGCGCCACCGCCAACGACGGCGGCGCCGAUCUUCUCCGCCUUUGGAGCGGUGUCGCCAGUAGCGCCGGGACCGACACCGUCUGCCACUCCGUUCGGGCAGCAAGCGGCACCGCGCGGCGGCAGCCACGUGCCCGCGAGCUUCCAUGCAAGCCCGUUUGCCCCCUCGCCGCCCUCAGCCGGUGCGGCGUCCAAACCGGCUACCACCGCAUCCGCCUUUGGCUCGGCAGCCUCUGGAUCAGGCCCUGGGGUUAGCGUUGGUUCAGUGUUUACGGCAGCAGCCGCCACUCCUGUGCGGGCGCCCGCGUCUUCCUUUGGCGCUUCCGCUGCCUCUGGGAAAGUGCCGCCGCCAGCGCCAUCCAGGUCAUUUGGCAGCCGCGCAGAUGGUGGUGGUGAUGCUGCUGCGGGGCGACGCCGAGGUCGCUCCACACCUCGAAGCGAUGCUGCUGAAGAUGACGGCAGCGGCAGUGGCGGUCCUGCUCGCCCCCACCCCAGCAGCCUCGCGGCGACCGCUUCGCCGUCCGCGCAAGGCUCCCGCCUUGAGAUACCAGCACCGCGCCAUGGGCAAUGCCGGCCGGCGCCGUCGACAACGCACACGCAGAAGCCGCCAACGGCCCUGUCGCAGCUGGGCAAGCUCCCCAUUCCACCACUGCCCGCAGAUGAGAAGAAGCUGUGCAUCGCCGCCCGUGUGUGCAAGUCCUUCCUCAUGCAACUUGCCUCCGCGCCGGCCUUGGGAGGCCGCGGUGGUGGUGCUGCGGGCUCCAGCAGGGAAGAGGGCGUCGCCAAGACCCUCGAGCAAGCCUUUUUCGGCGUUGUCGGCAUCGAGGGCGUGCACGGCAACUUCGGCAAUACCGCUGGCGAGAUGCUCGCCCUCUGGAACGGGCAGGUGAGGCCGGUGAUAUCUGGCCGUGGCACCCAAAGCUCUGAAGGCGGCGGCUCCGCCUUUCCGGGCGAGAUGUGGAUCGCGCUCUUCACUCUCGGCACGUACCUGAACACCAUUCUGUCCACGCUGCAGUCCAGCAAAUCGGGCCGAUACGCGGCAUCGUCAUCGGCGUCCGCCUCCGUGACGGAUUUGGCAGCCUACAAAGCGGGCCUGCGAGCCCACCCCACCGAGGCGCUCACCGACGCCUGCCACUACGCCAACGAGCUCAGCGAGCUGCUGCAGACGCUUUUCCAGCGCGGCGGCGAGGCCGAUGCCCCGCCGUACAGUGUCAUCCCGGUGGUGCUGCGGCGGGUGCGCAGCGUCUUUGAUGAAGCCAACGCGCGCGGCGUCGCAACGGUGCAGUCGAACCUGAACACGGUCACUUCGAAGCUGUUUGCAGUUCUCAACAGGCGAGUAAAGACGUCGGCCGUGCAGCCGCUUAGCACGCCUGGCGAGGCGCCGCGCUGGCUGCUGACGUACGACUCCAAAGAAAAGGAGAGCCUCCUGCACAGUUUUGCCUAUCUCAUCGUUGAGAUGAUCGCCGCAGAUGCCCCGAAGAACGACGACGUAGAGCUCUUCAUCUCGGCGUUUCACGAGUGCUUCCCGUCCGCGCUGGCGGAGCGGUGCAUGCUGUACUACCGGCGCGCCUGCGCACUCCUCCGGCAGCCGCUCCGCAUGUCGCUCGUCGAGGAGGCCGCUGAGCUGUUGGCGAAGGCGACCGUCGUGUACCCGCCCAACGCCACAUGGAACAACAGGCGUGUGUUGCUGGUGAAAUUGCUGGCAACGGAGCUGGCGCUGGGACGGCUGCCGCCGGACGAAGAUUGGCUCGCCCUCGACGUCCCGGCGCUCACCGAUGUUGUGAACGCGCUCAAGACGUCGCGUCUAGACCUCCUCGACGCGGCGCUUUCGAUGCAUGGGCCUUUCUUUGUGGAGAUCGGCGUACACAACGUCCUGUGUCUGGCGCGUCAGCGACUCGCGCUGCUGAUGGUCGUGAAGUUCUACCUGACUCACGGGUGCGAGAGUCGUCUAAGCGUGUCGGAGAUGGUGCGAUACCACCGCCUCCCCUACUCGGCGGUGGACGCGGGGGUCGUGUGGCUGCUGCCGCUGCUCGUAGAGAAGCAGAUAAACGGUGUGCUGGACCACGACUACCUGAUUCUAAGCGCCAAGACGCCGUUCGACGCCUAUCCGCUCAAGACGCUCGCCGACGCUGCGGCCGUCGCAUGACAUCCACCGCGGAGUUGGGGGAGGGCGGGUGAUGGCGUGCGACAAGCACCCCUUGGGUCUCUGUGGAGGUGGUAAAAGGGUUUUGCGUUAUGGGGGUAAAGGACUCAAAAGAGUGUGCGGGGAAGCGGCGGGAGCGGCUCCGAUGCGCAUGUCUGUGCCUGUGCAGGUGUGCGCAAACCCCUGUGCGCCUGUCUCUCUCCUUGUGCUUGGGCUUGCGUCAGUUGUCGGCGGUGGUGGCGGCGGUGCAUUCUCCCCCUCCCCCUCCCUCUCUCCCUCCUGCCCUCUGUGCGAGGGGGAGAACGGAGAGAAGACAAGGAUUGGCAGAGAAGUGGCAGAUGCUCGGAGAGCACAUCAUACUCGCAAAGCAAAGGAACGUGUGUAUGCGUCCGCUAAGCCUUUUCCAAGGGCGCCAGAGUUGCAGGCGCGUCUCGCGGAGUUAGGGCACGAAGGCUCAAGGCAGUUAAGAAACGGGAAGGAGAAUGGAGGGUGAUAUACGGCGAAGCGCAGUCGUGUCGUCUGGCCUCACCGUGGCGGCGCCGCAGAUGCAGCAACUAGGAUUUUCGUGACCCGUUCUCGUGCCCGCUCGCUCUUAGCCCCCUCGCCGCGACUCUCUCUCUCUCUCCACCCACCCAGCGGUGUUACGCACACAAGCACGGCCCUCUCUCUGUGCAUGUAUUCUUUCCCCUCUUGUCCUCCUCUCGCCUCAUCACGGCAUCCACCAACCUCCCCGUGGCCCAAAUCUACGCACACGUGCGCGCACGUGGGCAUGCGUGCCAG
This 4399-nucleotide unclassified non-coding RNA is filed under the name Leishmania donovani. Its description in RNAcentral is "gene:LdHU3.24.1090(CDS-product:hypothetical_prote in_conserved)". Lineage: Eukaryota; Euglenozoa; Kinetoplastea; Trypanosomatida; Trypanosomatidae. The record is from RNAcentral.